GAUGAACGCUAGCUACAGGCUUAACACAUGCAAGUCGAGGGGCAGCAGGGAUUUAGCUUGCUAAAUUCGCUGGCGACCGGCGCACGGGUGCGUAACGCGUAUCCAACUUUCCCGUUACUCUCGGAUAGCCUUCCGAAAGGGAGAUUAAUACGAGAUGGUGUUUUAAUUUCGCAUGUUAUUAGAACUAAAGAUUCAUCGGUAACGGAUAGGGAUGCGUGACAUUAGAUAGUUGGCGGGGUAACGGCCCACCAAGUCCACGAUGUCUAGGGGUUCUGAGAGGAAGGUCCCCCACACUGGAACUGAGACACGGUCCAGACUCCUACGGGAGGCAGCAGUGAGGAAUAUUGGUCAAUGGCCGAGAGGCUGAACCAGCCAAGUAGCGUGAAGGAUGAAGGUUCUAUGGAUUGUAAACCUCUUUUAUACGGGAAUAACAUCACCUACGUGUAGGUGCCUGCAUGUACCGUAUGAAUAAGCAUCGGCUAACUCCGUGCCAGCAGCCG
Molecule: ribosomal RNA, 500 nt
Filed under: uncultured bacterium
Lineage: Bacteria
Description: bacterial SSU rRNA
Rfam family: Bacterial small subunit ribosomal RNA
Source: RNAcentral